GACGAACGCUGGCGGCGUGCUUAACACAUGCAAGUGGAGCGACGAACCGGGGGCUUGCCCCGGGGCGAGAGCCGAGAACGGGUGAGUAACACGUGGGUGUAUCUGCCCUGAUGAUCGGGACAACCCGUCGAAAGACGGGCUAAUACCGAAUGUGCCCGCAAGGGGAAAGGAGGCUUCGGCUUCCGCAUCGGGAUGAGCCCGCGGCCCAUUAGCUUGUUGGUGGGGUAAAGGCCUACCAAGGCGACGANGGGUAGCUGGUCUGAGAGGACGAUCAGCCACACUGGGACUGAGACACGGCCCAGACUCCUACGGGAGGCAGCAGUGGGGAAUCUUGCGCAAUGCGCGAAAGCGUGACGCAGCAACGCCGCGUGCGGGAAGACGGCCU
This 385-nucleotide ribosomal RNA is filed under the name uncultured bacterium. RNAcentral's name for it is "bacterial SSU rRNA". It matches the Rfam family "Bacterial small subunit ribosomal RNA", at positions 28 to 417 of the family's 1533-position model. The record is from RNAcentral.